This 95-nucleotide ribosomal RNA is filed under the name uncultured bacterium. RNAcentral describes it as "partial 16S ribosomal RNA". It matches the Rfam family "Bacterial small subunit ribosomal RNA", at positions 1390 to 1482 of the family's 1533-position model. The record is from RNAcentral.
CCGCCCGUCACAUCAUGAAAGCCGAUUGCACCCGAAGUGGUUGAUUCGACCCGCAAGGGAGAUAGAUCCCUAAGGUGUGGUUGGUGAUUGGGAUG